Molecule: long non-coding RNA, 1228 nt
Filed under: Homo sapiens (human)
Lineage: Eukaryota; Metazoa; Chordata; Mammalia; Primates; Hominidae
Description: HSALNT0353527
Source: RNAcentral
CUCCCAUGAUCCAGUCACUUCUUACCAGGCCCCACCUUCAACAUUGGGGAUUACAAUUCAACAUGAGAUUUGGGUGGGGACACAGACACAAACUGCAUCACGGAGUGUGUUUCCUUUCAUUUGAAGAGAAUCGCAUUCAGGGUGAUUUCCAAGUGUCUCCAGACUUGAAGACCACUGCCUGGUAGCUUCUAGUGGAUGGAGAUGAUGUGCAUAAGCCCUUCUGGUCGAAGACCCCCAGGCCAGAUCUUUGGAGGGCCCUUCUUGGUCUUCUUGGAACCAGGAUCCAGACCAGGAGCCUACAUUUCACUAACUUGUCAGGACUCCCGUCUCUCCUCCAGCCUGCGACAGCUCCUCCGUCUUCUUUUGUCUUUUCUAACCUUGAUACUUUUGACGAGUACUGGCCAGCUGUUUCGCAGGAUUUUCCUCCAGCUGAGUUGGCUUGAGGUUUUCUCUGAUUGGAUCACAGUUACCGGUUUUCGGAGGAACAGCACAGAGGUGAACGGUCUCACUUAUCACUCCACAUCAAAGCAGGCAUGACACCCACGUGACUCAUUCCUAGGAGGCUGACCUUCACCUUUUGGUCUGGGCGACAUCUGCCAGGUUUUUCCACUGUCUAGUGACUAUUUUUUUCUUUUCCUUUUUUUAUGUUUGUGAAAGUCCUGCCCACACUCAAGGGGCGGGAAAUGAAACUACACCCCCUGGUGUAAUUUGUGAGGUACAUUAAAACCACCCUAGUAAUAGGAAAUGCUCACAUUAUGCUUUUGGUCAUUGUUAUUGAGCUAGUUAUGAGGCUUCUUUUUCCCUCUGUGGGAAGAUGACAUUUUCACCCGUAAUACCUUGUCACCCGUACCACUUUGGCAGUCUCAGUGAAGAUACCUGCACCCUCUGGGUGAGGGGCUUCUGACUAGUGCCAUGGAUGCUUGCUCUACAGAGACCAGAGAAGACUCCAGUUAGGGAGAGCGGACUCGCUACGCUCAGGUGCCGCCCCUCUGUCUCCCAGCCUCUCUAAAAUGACAAGAAAGGGACAAAAGCCUUAUUAACUUAUAGAGUGAAAGACAGCAGGGAUAACCAAGGGUAAAGCAUCACAACACAUUUUUCUUCACAGCUCACCUGCUCUACUGAAUCACACUGCCAUGUUAUGAGUUGCCCAUGUGGAAAGGGGCUGAUGUCUUUUGCCAACAGCCGUGAGAACCCGAGCACCUGCCAGCACCCACAUGCGUGACCUCGG